Molecule: ribosomal RNA, 305 nt
Filed under: uncultured bacterium
Lineage: Bacteria
Description: partial 16S ribosomal RNA
Rfam family: Bacterial small subunit ribosomal RNA
Source: RNAcentral
ACAGCAGUCGCCGCGGGAAUACAGAGGGUGCGAGCGUUAAUCGGAUUUACUGGGCGUAAAGCGUGCGUAGGCGGCUUCUUAAGUCGGAUGUGAAAUCCCUGAGCUUAACUUAGGAAUUGCAUUCGAUACUGGGAAGCUAGAGUAUGGGAGAGGAUGGUAGAAUUCCAGGUGUAGCGGUGAAAUGCGUAGAUAUCUGGAGGAAUACCGAUGGCGAAGGCAGCCAUCUGGCCUAAUACUGACGCUGAGGUACGAGAGCAUGGGGAGCAAACAGGAUUAGAUACCCCCGUAGUCCCUGUCUCUUAUAC